AAGUCGUAACAAGGUCUCCGUAGGUGAACCUGCGGAGGGAUCAUUAACACUGUAUGGAGAUUAGGAUCAGCUCUGCUCAGCUCUGCUGACACUUUUCUUUCACACCAACCCGCGAACUGAACUGAUGCCCAACCCCCUCCUUGGUUGCUGCUACCAGCAGCCCAGCCGAGUGUGUUUUUUCUUGUAUUUCUACAAACCAUAAACCAACUGUUGUGACUGAAUAGCGGACUCUGUCCUGUCUAUUUCUGUAACAUUAUCAAUGUAAGCACAACUCUUAGCAACGGAUAUCUCGGUUCUC
This 298-nucleotide unclassified non-coding RNA is filed under the name fungal sp. Its description in RNAcentral is "partial internal transcribed spacer region". The stretch from base 1 to 46 matches the Rfam family "Eukaryotic small subunit ribosomal RNA", at positions 1786 to 1831 of the family's 1831-position model. Lineage: Eukaryota; Fungi. The record is from RNAcentral.